This 468-nucleotide ribosomal RNA is filed under the name uncultured bacterium. RNAcentral describes it as "partial 16S ribosomal RNA". It matches the Rfam family "Bacterial small subunit ribosomal RNA", at positions 28 to 507 of the family's 1533-position model. The record is from RNAcentral.
GACGAACGCUGGCGGCGUGCUUAACACAUGCAAGUCGAACGGAAAGGCCCUGCUUUUGUGGGGUGCUCGAGUGGCGAACGGGUGAGUAACACGUGAGUAACCUGCCCUUGACUUUGGGAUAACUUCAGGAAACUGGGGCUAAUACCGGAUAGGAGCUCCUGCUGCAUGGUGGGGGUUGGAAAGUUUCGGCGGUUGGGGAUGGACUCGCGGCUUAUCAGCUUGUUGGUGGGGUAGUGGCUUACCAAGGCUUUGACGGGUAGCCGGCCUGAGAGGGUUACCGGACAAAUUGGGACGGAGAUACGGCCCAGAAUGCAACGGGAGGCAGCAGUGGGGAAUAUUGAAGAAUGGGAGGAAGCCUGAUGCAGAAACGCCGCGUGCGGGAUGACGGCCUUCGGGUUGUAAACAGAUUUCGCCUGUGACGAAGCGUGAGUGACGGUAAUGGGUAAAGAAGCACCGGCUAACUACGUG